Molecule: long non-coding RNA, 203 nt
Filed under: Trifolium pratense (red clover)
Lineage: Eukaryota; Viridiplantae; Streptophyta; Magnoliopsida; Fabales; Fabaceae
Description: long non-coding RNA (TPRA_LNC005887)
Source: RNAcentral
UUUGUUUCAAGGUUUGUAAUGUUAUUCCUGGGAAUAUGAGAUCUGGAAUGUAACAUUGCUAUGUUUGUUUCAAGUUUUGAAAGUUUGUUCCCAGGAAUUUUUUAAUUCCAGGAAUGUUAAUUACACAUAACUUCUACACUUGUUAUUCCCAUGCUAAUAGGGUGGGAAUAUAACAUUCCCAUGGGAAUAAAACUCAACUUCCU